GUUUACUGAAUAGAAAUUUAGUCAAGAGCAUAAUACACUCAACUUUAAAUAGGCUUAACAGUGCUUUCGCCUCCUCUUGGGAAGUGCCCUGACCCUCAAACAUGACUCCUCACAUGACCGAGAGGAAGAUAAUAAUAAAGAAUUACACUUAGGGAGGGGGUCAAUACCUCUCCCUUGAACCUCUGACCAGAUGACAUAGUUUCCCACCUUCUGCAGACUCAGAGAACAAGUCCCCAAUAACAACCCCAUACAAUCCACAACAUAAAAGUCAGUACUUGAAGAUUCAGACAAGGGCCCUUUAGUUCAGCACAGUCAUCUCAAGGAGGAAGGAGCCAUGACAAUUCACAUAAGACUUCAGAAGAUCUCAGCUCUUUGCUAAGGCAACAUAUUCUAAAGCUCAGCUAGCAAGGCCCCUGGGAGCUGACCAGGGUCCUGCCCUGCCUAGAGACACCUGCCUGGACUUGUAUGGAUCUGUUUCUUGCUUCUCCUUCCUGUGAGUCCCCAAGCCCCAUAACAGGAUAGGAAGCAAAGAGAAUUCCCAAAAGCCUCACAAAAAUACGAUCCUCUGAUUUUGUUCAAGAACUCAAGGUAAGUGAACUGUAAUAAAAUCCUGUAUUAUGUUUGUAAUACAGAUAUUCUCUGUGAGAAAGAACAAAUGGAAUGAGAGCUUGAGACCAAAAAAGAUGAAAGGAAGUAGGGAGGAAAGUCUGAAUACAAAGUUUGAAGCCAAGACCAUUAUCCAUUGCUCUGCCUGAAUUUCUACCAGAUGUGAAUCUAACUCAUUUUCAUCAUUUAGCACCUGUAUUUUAAGGGAGUGAUGGCCUUGCCCACAGAUGUCUUCAAAAAGUAAGACUGAAAACUUGCCCCCAAUUGGAAAUGAGUUCCCAUGACAGCAGG
RNAcentral lists this long non-coding RNA (897 nucleotides) under Podarcis lilfordi (Lilford's wall lizard). Lineage: Eukaryota; Metazoa; Chordata; Lepidosauria; Squamata; Lacertidae. The record is from RNAcentral.